This is a long non-coding RNA of Amphiprion ocellaris (clown anemonefish), 2142 nucleotides long. RefSeq lists it as uncharacterized. The transcript has 4 exons. The record is from RefSeq and is a predicted model, not a curated record. NCBI's taxonomy places the organism in Eukaryota, Metazoa, Chordata, Actinopteri, Pomacentridae.
GGAAGUGAGCCGACUGUGAUGUGUUGAUGUCGGUUGCUAUUCGGGUAAUGUCUUGCAUGUAUGACCAGUUCUACACAGUAAUAUGUGCUUAUUUAACUCAUAUCUUCUGUGCUGGGGACUUUACUGGUCAAUGCAGGGGCUGUGCUGAAUUUCAAGCUUAAAAGGAAGGAGUCACAGGGGUUUGGAGAUGAGUCCAGAGCACCAACAACAGUCUGCGCAGAUUGUUUGGAUCAUGAUCAGCGUUUGCAGUGACUGGACUUCCACCAGGAUGCUCACUUUUCAAGAUGGAUACUGUAAACCUCUUCUUGAUGGGAUUUUUCCUUUGGCCCUUUUAAUUUGAAUUAUGGUCCUUUUCAGUUACAACCCAAAAAUCUAUGUAAAAAUACGUCUGGCUGUACAGGAAUUUAUGCACUGCAUAUUUAUUUUUUAUUCCAGAACUUGUUAGAUUUUUACCUUCUGAACUGUAACUGUUAGUGGGUUGGAUAUAUUAGGUAGCAAGUAAACAUUUUGUCCUCAAAGUUGAUGUGUUAGAAACCGGAAAAAUGGGCAAGCGUAAGGAUUUGAGUGACUAUAACAAGGGCCAAAUUGUGAUGGCUAGACGACUGGGUCAGAGCAUCUCCCAAACUGCAGCUCUUGUGGGGUGUUCCAGGUCUUCAGUGGUCAGUGUCUAUCAAAAAUGGUCCAAGGAAGGAAGAGUGGUGAACCGGCGACAGGGUCAUGGGCGGCCAAGGCUCAUUGAUGCACGUGGGGAGCGACGGCUGGCCCGUGUGGUCCAAUCCAACAGACGAGCUACUGUUGCUCAAAUUGCCAAAGAAGUAAAUGCUGGUUUUGAUAGAAAGGUGUCGGAAUACACAGUGCAUCGCAGUUUGUUGCGUAUGGGACUGCAUAAACGCAGACCAGUCAGUCAAGUUGUCCAUGCUGACCCUUGGGAACUGCUGAAAGCACCAACAAUGGACAGGUGAGCAUCAGAACUGGACCUCCUAAAACACAUGAAUCAUGUUCCAUCUGUGGACGUCUCUGGUUUCUUUUAUAAAGUGCUGUAGGGUUGUGUUUGGUGCUUCUGUCGUCUUUGCUGAGAGUUCAAGUGAAACCAAAGUGGGCAGACAUUGAAACUUCAUGUCACUGAACUUGGAUCUUGGAAAAAAAAUGCUGUCAGAUGAUGCAGAAAUGUACAGGCUGAAGUCGCAGUAAUAACAACCUGCUUUAAUAAUUAGCAAUACUGUUUUAAUUCUUAUUACUUGGUCUAUUUUUCAUUUUAAUUGUCAGGAUUGAUAACCAGAACACUGACCUCUGCCUCCACUAGAGGGCGCCAAAGCCACACAAUAGAAAACCUGCUUCUCUCCUGUGUCACAUUUUCAUGGAAGAAAUGUGCAAAUACAGGGUAUUUGUCAUUUAUCUAAAAGAUCUCUCCUACGUUUUGGUCUUGGUUGGAACUAUUACUUCAGUAAAAGUGUAAUCAAAUAAAUAUGAAACUAAAUUAAAAUUCUGCACCCUGCCCAGAGGUGUUAGGAUCUGACACACUGUUGGCUAAGAUCAGCCCACAAAUGGAUUUUAACCUCCUGAUGGCACCAUUUAUAUUACUUUAGAGUAAAAUGAAUAUGAAAUGUGAGACACUGUGCUCCAAGCAAAGUAAGGUCAGCCAACUUCCCCUCUAAAUUCACUCUAUCUUCCAUAUUUAUAUCACACUGAAUGCAGGCUAAACCAGUCAAACUGUGAGCUUAAGACGUGUAUGAUGAUUUACAGCUAUAAUCAUGGGUAAAGGUGUGAUUCAUGACAAAAGCCCUAAAGGAGACCAGAGUUGCCAACUUUUAUCUACCAGCUGGAGUGAGAUUGGUGUAUCUUGUAGGCUAUUAAUGCUAAUUGUAAUUUUUAAUGAUCAUUUUGUUUCUUACUAGUUCAAAGUAGGAGUUGUGUUGGUGAAUGUCAUUUAUUUCCACAGGUGUCCCCAGUUGUAGAUGUCAGUGUCAUCUUAAAAGUCUCUUCUUUCCUUUAUAUAAAUGUGUUUUUGUAGUUGUCUUUCUGGUCCUGUCUCUUUUUCAUUUUACCAAUUGUUUUAUUUUUAUUGUUGGUUUUAACUUUUAUUGUACUUGUCUUCUGCCUACCCCUUUAAUUUUAAUAAAAAAUAUCACUUUUUAUCAUGGA